GCGGGCGUAGCUCAGUUGGUAGAGCGUCAGCUUCCCAAGCUGAAUGUCGCCGGUUCGAGCCCGGUCGCCCGCU
RNAcentral lists this transfer RNA (73 nucleotides) under Gemmatimonadota bacterium. Its description in RNAcentral is "Gemmatimonadetes bacterium (freshwater metagenome) tRNA-Gly". It matches the Rfam family "tRNA". Rfam says of the family: Transfer RNA (tRNA) molecules are approximately 80 nucleotides in length. Their secondary structure includes four short double-helical elements and three loops (D, anti-codon, and T loops). The record is from RNAcentral. RNAcentral also lists the same sequence under 2 other names. Lineage: Bacteria; Pseudomonadati; Gemmatimonadota.